Molecule: long non-coding RNA, 4038 nt
Filed under: Homo sapiens (human)
Lineage: Eukaryota; Metazoa; Chordata; Mammalia; Primates; Hominidae
Description: lncAB24.1
Source: RNAcentral
CCUGGUUCUGCCCCGCCCCUCCAAGUUGGCGAUGGCUGGGCUUCGGCCCCGCCUUCCCCACGGCGUUCCGGAGUCCGCUUAAAGGAGCCGCGCACACUGGAGCCGGGAAAGCCUGGAGCUACCGGGAAGGGGCGGGGAGUUUUAGCUUUGCGUAGGGCGGGAUGGGAGGUGGGUAAGACCGGAAAAAAGAUGAGGAAGGGUCCAAAGAUUCAAGAAGAGAAUUUGGAGGGAACUCAAUCAUUCGACAAGCCCUAAUUGAGCACCUGUUAGGUUCCAGGCGCUGUUCUAACUAAGCGCAGAGGUUUAAAGUCAUAGACAGGCAAAGACCCUCUUGCAGCUUGCAUGCUGGUGGAGUGAGAGAGGGGAGACAGACAACAAACAAGUGACAAAAAUUGCAGGUAGUGAUAAGUGGUGUGGAGAAAAAUAAAGCAGAGGAUAGGGUGACUUUACACCUGGUGAGAUACUGCCUCUCAAAGAAGACCUUUGAGCGCAUACACACGGGAUGAAGGAAUAAGUCUUGCAAACACGCGGGCCUGGAGGAGGAAUAGCCUUUCCAAGCUGAGAGAAAAUCAGCCAUAAACCCAGAGGUGGGGAUACGCCUGCCAUGUUGCAGAAACAGUGAAAGGCCGGCAUGGCUGAGCAGCGUCAGCCAGCCCGAGAGCAGUACCAGCUAGGCUUGGCCAGAUCCAGUGAAGCCUGUGGGCCAUUAUAACAGGAACGGGAAACCAUGAGAGAAGGGUGAGCCGAGGAAUGACCGCAUCUGAUUCAUGUUGUUAAAAGUUAGUCUUGCUGAUGUGUGUAAAAUACACAAUGGAGAAGCACAGAUGUCCUUGGGAUACCAGUAAGGUAGCUUGGACUAACUAGCCUGGCAGCCACGGACAGGAUGAGAAGAAGGCUAUUUUAUUUUAUUUUAUUUUAUUUAGAUACAUUUUGAUUGGAAUGGAUUUGGAUUUGGGGCAUAGUGUGUGAAAGAACAAAAAGAAAUCAAGAGUUGAUUCUUAGGUUCGGGCCUGAUGACUGAGUUAAUGGCGGUGCCACUUAAUGAAAUGGAGGAGCAGAUUUGGGGAUGGGGAAAUCAAGAGUCUUUUCUUACACAUGUUAUGUUUAAGGUGUCUGUUAUACAUCCAAAUGGAGAUAUUGAAUAAACAAUCGAUAUAUGAGUCUAGAGAGAUACAUUUGGGAUUCAUUAGCAAAUAGAUACUUUUUAAGUCUUAAGUCUAGUUAGGAUCACAUGGGGAGGGGAGAUAGCUGAAGGAAAGGACCAAGAGGCACUCCAACACUUGAAGGUUAAGUAGAAAAGGAGGCGCUACCAGUCAGGGCAGGAGAAACACCAAGAGAAGGUGAAGCGUUGGAAAACAAGAUAAUUGUUUCAGGAAGGAGAGAGUGAAGAGUCUUAUCAGAUACUGCUGAAAUUAGUAAGAUAAGGACUGAGAAUUUGAACACUGGAUGUGGCCUGAUGAAGUUGCUGAUGACCUUGAUGAAAACAGUUUCAGUGGAGUCAUAGGGGAGAAAGUCUGAUUAGGGUAUGUUAAUAGGAUGGGAGGUGAGGAAGAGAAAGUGUUCUAAACAGCUCUUGAGAGGCUUUGCUUUGAAGGAGAAAAGGGCAGUAGCCAGAGAGGUACUUGAGAUCAAGGGAGGAUAUUUUAAGAUGAGAAAUGCUUUUUCUCAUUUUAGUAUGCUGGAAUGAUUUUUUUUUUUUUGAGGCGGAGUCUUGCUCUGUUGCUAGGCUGGAGUGCAGUGGUGUGAUCUCCGCUCACUGCAACCUCCAACUCCCUGGUUCGAGCGAUUCUCCUGUCUCAGCCUCCAAAGCAGCUGGGAUUACAGUCAUGUGCCACCACACCUGGCUAAUUUUGUGUUUUUAUUAGAGACGGGGUUUCUCCACGUUGGCCAGGCUGGUCUCGAAUUCCCAACCUCAGGUGAUCCACCCGCCUCGGCCUCCCAAAGUGUUGGGAUUACAGGUGUGAGCCACUGCGCCCAGCUGGAAUGAUUCUUUAGAGAGGUAAAAUUGGGCCAGGCGUGGUGGCUCACACCUGUAAUCCCAGCACUUUGGGAGGCCAAGGCGGGUGGAUCACGAGGUCAGGAGAUCGAGACCAUCCUGGCUAACACGGUGAAACCCCAUCUCUACUAAAAAUACAAAAAAAAUUAGCCAGGCGUGGUGGCAGGCGCCUGUAGUCCCAGCUACUCAGGAGGCUGAGGCAGGAGAAUGGCAUGAACCUGGAAGGCGGAACUUGCAGUGAGCCGAGAUCGCGCCACUGCACUCCAGCCUGGGCAACAGAGCGAGACUCUGUAAGAGAGGUAAAAUUGAUGACACAGAAGGCAAGAGGAGACAACUGGAGAAAGAGUGUCCUCAAAUAGGUGAGAAGCAAUUGGAUCUAGCACAGAAGUGAAAGGGUUGGCCUAGGAUAGGAGUAAGGGAAUGCAUUCACACACUGUUUCUGGAGAGAAGGUAGAGUGUCUGGGUGCAGAAGCAGAUAGAUUAGACAGUACAUUUGGUUGUGGCACGCUCAGGCCCCUGUAGAGCAGAGGCGGCAGGUAGGAGCUGAAAUGUAGCCCUUGUUUUGCCCACAAAGCCACGUGCCCUGGUGGGGUCACAUCAGCCUGGAGGAAGGGGUACUUUUCUGAUUGCUCCACCAGGAGAGGUGGUGCAUGUUAGCAUCCUGCAUAUAACACACACACAUGCGCAAACACACACACAUGCGCAUACACACACAUGCAUACCCACACACACACGUAUGGACCUUUUCCCAGUUUCCACUGAGUGCCAUAUGUACUGGCUGCCUCACUGGGAUUGAUGAGGUAAGAUCUGUUCUCUAUGCAAUGAAAAGCUGUUGGCUAUUAAAGGAGAUAGAAGAAGGUGAGAAAUAAUCUCCUUGAAGAGUGGAAAAGUGACUAGAGAAGCUUAGCAUGGACAGUGCUGAGGGCCCUCUUGAGUUGAUGAUCAUACAUUAAAGUGAGACCACUCAGCAAGGCCGUGUGAUUCUCCUCCAGCCACACUCCAUUGCUUGGGGGUUGGAGGAGAAUUGUAUUUGACCAGGUCUGAGUUUUGCUGGGGAAAGCCUAUGAGAGGGGUAGGAGUAUUAUGUAAGGGAGUGAUUAUAGUGAUAGACCUUGGAAUUUAAGCUGGGAGGGAAGACAGGGCAAGUAAAAAGUGGUAGAGUCAAUGGUUUGCUGUGGUCCCUGUGAGAAGUAGUUUGAGAGGAAGUAAUCAAACAAGUGAGGCCAAGGGGACUUUCCAAAAGUUGAGCAUGGGGAAGGGUGAGUAAGGCGGUUAGGGGACAGGAAGCACAAAGCAUCUGUGAGAAAAAGGUUCAAGCUGGCUCCAAGGAGCUAAGGAAACAGCAAAGCCCUUGGGCUUCUGUCCUCAUCACGGUAUAUGUGAACCAUUGGUUUGGAGAGGUUGAGGAACUGGAUUGCCCACUCAUAAUCUUCAGGGAGCUGCACAAACAGGAGAAACUGAGUGCAGGAGGAGAUAAACCAAUUAAAUCCUCCCAGGGCUCCUUUACAAGCUUUGGGAGAACCCAAUGGGCACUUUGCUUUCCCUGCCCUUUCCUUUCACCAGGGAUAUCUGAUGAUUUGGGUAGACACUUUAUCUGGCCUAGUAUUUGACAGAAACUAAACACCUUUCUUCCUAAAUCCAGCUCCUCCUCUUCCUGACUUCCUCUUUUCUGUUCAUGGCACUACCUUUCUCAGUCACUCAGCUGCCAAACCGAAGCCUCCUUUAAUCCAUCUUCCUCAUUCUAUGCCUAAUUAGUCCCUAAAGCAUAGUGAGCUGCACUGUUCAAUAAACAUUGCACUGUGAUGGAAAUGUUCUUUAUCUGCAUAGUCCAAAACAGGAGUUACAUAUGGCUAUUGAGCACUUUAAAUGCAGCUAAUGCAACUGAGGAAGUAAAUUUUUUUUUUUUUUUUUUUUUUGAGACAGAGUCUCACUCUGUCACCAGGCUGGAGUGCAGUGGCACGGUCUUGGCUCACUGCAACCUCCACCUCCCAGGUUCAAGCGAUUCUCCUGCUUCAGCCUCCCGAGUAGCUGGGACUACAGGC